This 501-nucleotide ribosomal RNA is filed under the name uncultured bacterium. Its description in RNAcentral is "partial 16S ribosomal RNA". It matches the Rfam family "Bacterial small subunit ribosomal RNA", at positions 30 to 523 of the family's 1533-position model. The record is from RNAcentral.
AUUGAACGCUGGCGGCAGGCUUAACACAUGCAAGUCGGGCGGGGUGAUGGUGCUUGCACUAUCACUUAGCGGCGGACGGGUGAGUAAUGCUUAGGAAUCUGCCUAUUAGUGGGGGACAACAUCUCGAAAGGGAUGCUAAUACCGCAUACGUCCUACGGGAGAAAGCAGGGGAUCACUUGUGACCUUGCGCUAAUAGAUGAGCCUAAGUCGGAUUAGCUAGUUGGUGGGGUAAAGGCCUACCAAGGCGACGAGCUGUAGCGGGUCUGAGAGGAUGAUCCGCCACACUGGGCAUGGGGCACGGCCCAGACUCCUACGGGAGGCAGGAGUGGGGAAUAUUGGAGGAUGGGGGGAACCCUGAUCCAGCCAGGCCGCGCGUGAAGAAGGCCUUAUGGUUGUAAAGCACUUUAAGCGAGGAGGAGGCUCUUUUGGUUAAUACCCAAGAUGAGUGGACGUUACUCGCAGAAUAAGCACCGGCUAACUCUGUGCCAGCAGCCGCGGUAA